UGGGGAAUUUUGGACAAUGGGCGCAAGCCUGAUCCAGCCAUGCCGCGUGCGGGAAGAAGGCCUUCGGGUUGUAAACCGCUUUUGUCAGGGAAGAAAUCUUCUGAGUUAAUACCUCGGGAGGAUGACGGUACCUGAAGAAUAAGCACCGGCUAACUACGUGCCAGCAGCCGCGGUAAUACGUAGGGUGCAAGCGUUAAUCGGAAUUACUGGGCGUAAAGCGUGCGCAGGCGGUUUUGUAAGACAGAGGUGAAAUCCCCGGGCUCAACCUGGGAACUGCCUUUGUGACUGCAAGGCUUGAGUGCGGCAGAGGGGGGAUGGAAUUCCGCGUGUAGCAGUGAAAUGCGUAGAUAUGCGGAGGAACACCGAUGGCGAAGGCAAUCCCCUGGGCCUGCACUGACGCUCAUGCACGAAAGCGUGGGGAGCAAACCAGGAUUAGAUAGCCCUGGUAGUCCACGCCCUAAAACGAUGUCAACUGGUUGUUGGGAAGGUUCCUUCUCAGUAACGUAGCUAACGCGUGAAGUUGACCGCCUGGGGAGUACGGCCGCAAGGUUGAAACUCAAAUGAAUUGACGGGGG
This 575-nucleotide ribosomal RNA is filed under the name uncultured bacterium. RNAcentral describes it as "partial 16S ribosomal RNA". It matches the Rfam family "Bacterial small subunit ribosomal RNA", at positions 355 to 919 of the family's 1533-position model. The record is from RNAcentral.